This 465-nucleotide ribosomal RNA is filed under the name Vreelandella stevensii. Its description in RNAcentral is "partial 16S ribosomal RNA". It matches the Rfam family "Bacterial small subunit ribosomal RNA", at positions 338 to 795 of the family's 1533-position model. The record is from RNAcentral. Lineage: Bacteria; Pseudomonadati; Pseudomonadota; Gammaproteobacteria; Oceanospirillales; Halomonadaceae.
CCUACGGGGGGCUGCAGUGGGGAAUAUUGGACAAUGGGGGCAACCCUGAUCCAGCCAUGCCGCGUGUGUGAAGAAGGCCCUCGGGUUGUAAAGCACUUUCAGUGAGGAAGAACGCCUGGUGGUUAAUACCCAUCAGGAAAGACAUCACUCACAGAAGAAGCACCGGCUAACUCCGUGCCAGCAGCCGCGGUAAUACGGAGGGUGCGAGCGUUAAUCGGAAUUACUGGGCGUAAAGCGCGCGUAGGUGGCUUGAUAAGCCGGUUGUGAAAGCCCCGGGCUCAACCUGUGAACGGCAUCCGGAACUGUCAAGCUAGAGUGCAGGAGAGGAAGGUAGAAUUCCCGGUGUAGCGGUGAAAUGCGUAGAGAUCGGGAGGAAUACCAGUGGCGAAGGCGGCCUUCUGGACUGACACUGACACUGAGGUGCGAAAGCGUGGGUAGCAAACAGGAUUAGAUACCCCAGUAGUC